UGGAGGCAGCAGUGGGGAAUAUUGGACAAUGGGUGCAAGCCUGAUCCAGCCAUGCCGCGUGCAGGAAGAAAGCCUUCUGGGUUGUAAACUGCUUUUCUCUGGGGAUAAAAUGAUCGUGCGCGAUUAAUUGAAGGUACCAGAGGAAUAAGCCACGGCUAACUACGUGCCAGCAGCCGCGGUAAUACGUAGGUGGCAAGCGUUGUCCGGAUUUAUUGGGUUUAAAGGGUGCGUAGGCGGUCCCAUAAGUCAGUUGUGAAAUACGGCAGCUUAACUGUCGAGGUGCAAUUGAUACUGUGGGACUUGAGUACUGAUGAGGUAGGCGGAAUGGACGGUGUAGCGGUGAAAUGCUUAGAGAUCGUCCAGAACACCGAUAGCGAAGGCAGCUUACUAAGGAGUAACUGACGCUGAGGCACGAAAGUGUGGGGAUCAAACAGGAUUAGAAACCCUGGUAGUCCG
This 456-nucleotide ribosomal RNA is filed under the name uncultured bacterium. RNAcentral's name for it is "bacterial SSU rRNA". It matches the Rfam family "Bacterial small subunit ribosomal RNA", at positions 343 to 797 of the family's 1533-position model. The record is from RNAcentral.